RNAcentral lists this ribosomal RNA (428 nucleotides) under uncultured bacterium. RNAcentral's name for it is "bacterial SSU rRNA". It matches the Rfam family "Bacterial small subunit ribosomal RNA", at positions 917 to 1344 of the family's 1533-position model. The record is from RNAcentral.
GGGCCCGCACAAGCGGUGGAGUAUGUGGUUUAAUUCGAUGAUACGCGAGGAACCUUACCUGGUCUUGACAUACACAGAAUCUUGUAGAGAUACGAGAGUGCCUUCGGGAAUUGUGAUACAGGUGCUGCAUGGCUGUCGUCAGCUCGUGUCGUGAGAUGUUGGGUUAAGUCCCGCAACGAGCGCAACCCUUGUCCUUAGUUACCAGCGGGUUAAGCCGGGAACUCUAAGGAUACUGCCAGUGACAAACUGGAGGAAGGCGGGGACGACGUCAAGUCAUCAUGGCCCUUACGACCAGGGCUACACACGUGCUACAAUGGUAGGUACAGAGGGCAGCUACACAGCGAUGUGAUGCGAAUCUCAAAAAGCCUAUCGUAGUCCAGAUUGGAGUCUGCAACUCGACUCCAUGAAGUAGGAAUCGCUAGUAAUCG